This 568-nucleotide long non-coding RNA is filed under the name Anas platyrhynchos platyrhynchos (common mallard). RNAcentral describes it as "lncRNA (ENSAPLG00000023702.1)". The record is from RNAcentral. Lineage: Eukaryota; Metazoa; Chordata; Aves; Anseriformes; Anatidae.
AGAAGUAGGAAAGGAUAACUUCAAUACCUACUAAAUAUCUUUGUAUCUUUCCUAUAUCUUUUCAUUUGCAUAGAAAUCAUUUGUACUGUUUAUAUGGAAUCAUAAAAUAGCUGUGUCUAAGGCAUGCUGCAACUGAUCCUGUUAAUAAGUAUUGUGUUGAGGAGGUGGAAAAGAAAACAAGUCCAAACUUCUGGUGACAUGACAAAUGAUGGGAUGUGCUGCCCAUGCCUCAGAUGAUGGUGCUCCCCUUCAUACAAAGGAGCUCUUCUGGUUCAGUGAGACUAAUGUGGCACUUAUUGCCUACUGGCAGAUGCAACAUAUUCAGGUCACACGAGUUUAUUCAGCACGGAGAUGACUUUUGAGUGAGAAUGCUCAAGAAUUAGAACCAGGGAACUUCUGUGGAUUUCUUCUACCAGAAUAUGGACAUACAGACCCUGGUAGCUGAUGUAAUGACAGGCUGAACUUAGCUAAUUUAUGGAAGCGGUGUUAUGGAUGGUUCCAGGAAAGAUGUUGCCUUUUGGUAUGAUUGUUUUUCUUUUCUUGCCUGGGAGAGUCUCCAAGUGAACUG